CAAAAGAUAGUUUAAUUUAAAAUUCUAGUUUUGGAGACUAGUGAUGUGAGUAGUUUCUCUCUUUUGA
RNAcentral lists this transfer RNA (67 nucleotides) under Euphausia superba (Antarctic krill). RNAcentral's name for it is "tRNA-Pro". It matches the Rfam family "tRNA". Rfam says of the family: Transfer RNA (tRNA) molecules are approximately 80 nucleotides in length. Their secondary structure includes four short double-helical elements and three loops (D, anti-codon, and T loops). Lineage: Eukaryota; Metazoa; Arthropoda; Malacostraca; Euphausiacea; Euphausiidae. The record is from RNAcentral.